AACGAACGCUGGCGGCAUGCCUAACACAUGCAAGUCGAACGAGACCUUCGGGUCUAUUGGCGCACGUGUGCGUAACGCCUGGGAACCUGCCUUUAGGUUCGGUAUAACUCAGAGAAAUUUAAGCUAAUACCGGAUGAUGUCUUCGGACCAAAGAUUUAUCGCCUUUAGGUGGGACUGGGUUGGAUUCGCGGGUUGGAGGGGUAAACGCCUACCAAGGCGACGAUCCAUAGCUGGUGGGUGAGGAGGAACAGCGACACUGGGACUGGGACACGGCCCAUACUGGAAGGGGCGGUGGGGGUGGGGACACAUGGGGCGGGGGCGAGAGGCUGCACCGGCAAGGGCGGGUUGGUGAUGAAGGGCUUGGAGUCGUAAAGCGCUUUACCCGAGACGAUAAUGACAGUAACGGGUGAAUAAGCACCGGCUAACUACGUG
This 432-nucleotide ribosomal RNA is filed under the name uncultured bacterium. RNAcentral describes it as "partial 16S ribosomal RNA". It matches the Rfam family "Bacterial small subunit ribosomal RNA", at positions 29 to 507 of the family's 1533-position model. The record is from RNAcentral.